CCUUGGGUCUGGCUGGCCGGUCCGCCUCACCGCGAGUACUGGUCCGGCUGGACCUUUCCUUCUGGGGAAUCCCAUGGCCUUCACUGGCUGUGGGGGGAACCAGGACUUUUACUGUGAAAAAAUUAGAGUGUUCAAAGCAGGCCUUUGCUCGAAUACAUUAGCAUGGAAUAAUAGAAUAGGACGUGCGGUUCUAUUUUGUUGGUUUCUAGGACCGCCGUAAUGAUUAAUAGGGAUAGUCGGGGGCGUCAGUAUUCAGCUGUCAGAGGUGAAAUUCUUGGAUUUGCUGAAGACUAACUACUGCGAAAGCAUUCGCCAAGGAUGUUUUCAUUAAUCAGGGAACGAAAGUUAGGGGAUCGAAGACGAUCAGAUACCGUCGUAGUCUUAACCAUAAACUAUGCCGACUAGGGAUCGGGCGGUGUUUCUAUGAUGACCCGCUCGGCACCUUACGAGAAAUCAAAGUUUUUGGGUUCUGGGGGGAGUAUGGUCGCAAGGCUG
RNAcentral lists this ribosomal RNA (495 nucleotides) under Aspergillus terreus. RNAcentral describes it as "SSU rRNA". It matches the Rfam family "Eukaryotic small subunit ribosomal RNA", at positions 639 to 1139 of the family's 1831-position model. Lineage: Eukaryota; Fungi; Ascomycota; Eurotiomycetes; Eurotiales; Aspergillaceae. The record is from RNAcentral.